Molecule: long non-coding RNA, 202 nt
Filed under: Phoenix dactylifera (date palm)
Lineage: Eukaryota; Viridiplantae; Streptophyta; Magnoliopsida; Arecales; Arecaceae
Description: long non-coding RNA (PDAC_LNC016031)
Source: RNAcentral
CACCACCCUUUCUUUUUCUCCCUUUUCUCUUGCGGCUGGAAGGAGGAAUGAAGGGAAGAGAGGUGUUGCCGAAAUGCCCAAGAAAAACAUAAAAAAUGCUGGCCGAAAUCACCUCUCCCUUUUGAAAUGCAAAGGGAUAAAGAUGAGCUCCUAUUUUUUAGGAGCUCAUCCUUAUCUCUAUUUCAUGCCACCUAGGAGGGGC